Molecule: ribosomal RNA, 229 nt
Filed under: uncultured bacterium
Lineage: Bacteria
Description: partial 16S ribosomal RNA
Rfam family: Bacterial small subunit ribosomal RNA
Source: RNAcentral
UGCGUAGGCGGUUUCUUAAGUCAGUGGUGAAAUUUUGUGGCUCAACCAUAAGCGUGCCAUUGAAACUGAGAGACUUGAGUGCGGACGAGGAAGGCGGAAUGUGUUAUGUAGCGGUGAAAUGCAUAGAUAUAACACAGAACACCAAUUGCGAAGGCAGCUUUCCAGACCGUAACUGACUCUGAUGCACGAAAGCGUGGGUAGCGAACAGGAUUAGAUACCCUGGUAGUCC